GAUGGGUAGCCGGCCUGAGAGGGUGUACGGCCACACUGGCACUGAGACAAUGGCCAGUCCCCUAUGGGAGGCGCAGGCGGGAAUAGUUCACAAUGGGCGAAAGCCUGAUGACGCGACGCCGCGUGAGCGAAGAAGACCUUCGGGUUGUAAAGCUCUGUCAGGAGGGAAGAAGGCUCUACGGGUCAAUAGCCCGUGGGAUUGACGGUACCUCCAGAGGAAGCCCCGGCUAAAUACGUGCCAGCAGCCGCGGUAAUACGUAUGGGGCAAGCGUUGUCCGGAUUUACUGGGCGUAAAGGGCGCGUAGGCGGUUUGUUAAGUCGAAGGUGAAAUCCUCGGGCUCAACUCGAGAAUUGCCUUCGAUACUGGCAAACUAGAGUGGCGGAGAGGAAAGCGGAACUCUUGGUGUAACGGUGGAAUGUGUAGAUAUCAAGAGGAACACCGGUGGCGAAGGCGGCUUUCUGGACGCACACUGACGCUCAGGCGCGAAAGCGUGGGUAGCAAACAGGAUUAGAUACCCUGGUAGUCCACGCCAUAAACGAUGGGUACUAGGUGUCGGGGGUAUCGACCCCUCCGGUGCCGCAGUUAACGCACUAAGUACCCCGCCUGGGGAUUAUGGUCGCAAGGCUGAAACCCAAAGGAAUUGACGGGGCCCCGCACAAGCGGUGGAGCAUGUGGUUUAGUUCGACGCAACGCGAAGAACCUUACCUGGGCUUGACAUGCUUGGGACAGCGCUGGAAACAGCGUCUCUCCUUCGGGAGCCCUUGCACAGGUGCUGCAUGGCUGUCGUCAGCUCGUGUCGUGAGAUGUUGGGUUAAGUCCCGCAACGAGCGCAACCCUCGUUACUAGUUGUCAUCAGUUCGGCUGGGCACUCUAGUGAGACUGCCGGUGAUAAACCGGAGGAAGGUGAGGAUGAUGUCAAGUCAUCAUGGCCCUUACGCCCAGGGCUACACACGUGCUACAAUGGUCGGCACAAAGGGUCGCUAAGCCGCGAGGUGGAGCUAAUCCCAAAAAGCCGGCCUCAGUUCGGAUUGGAGUCUGCAACCCGACUCCAUGAAGGCGGAAUCGCUA
RNAcentral lists this ribosomal RNA (1068 nucleotides) under uncultured organism. RNAcentral describes it as "bacterial SSU rRNA". It matches the Rfam family "Bacterial small subunit ribosomal RNA", at positions 278 to 1337 of the family's 1533-position model. The record is from RNAcentral.